RNAcentral lists this ribosomal RNA (253 nucleotides) under uncultured bacterium. RNAcentral describes it as "partial 16S ribosomal RNA". It matches the Rfam family "Bacterial small subunit ribosomal RNA", at positions 524 to 776 of the family's 1533-position model. The record is from RNAcentral.
UACGUAGGGACCGAGCGUUGUCCGGAAUCAUUGGGCGUAAAGCGCACGUAGGCGGGUCCUUAAGUCGGGGGUGAAAUCCCGGAGCUCAACUCCGGAACUGCCUUCGAUACUGGGGACCUCGAGUCCGGGAGAGGUGAGUGGAACUGCGAGUGUAGAGGUGAAAUUCGUAGAUAUUCGCAAGAACACCAGUGGCGAAGGCGGCUCACUGGCCCGGUACUGACGCUGAGGUGCGAAAGCGUGGGGAGCAAACAGG